RNA transcript from Populus euphratica (Euphrates poplar), 3900 nucleotides. RefSeq lists it as uncharacterized. The transcript has 7 exons. The record is from RefSeq and is a predicted model, not a curated record. Lineage: Eukaryota; Viridiplantae; Streptophyta; Magnoliopsida; Malpighiales; Salicaceae.
UGGGAUAUUUUCUUCUCUCUCCAUCCACGUACACAAAAUGCAGCCUUUUACAUACAUAAACAGGCGCGAUCCUUUUAUUUACCUCCUCCUAAGAAUAAUUAGAUCCCCCUCUCCAUCUCCCUCCCUCUCUCUGUUAUUCUCCAUCUCCAUGUUCUCUCGUCUUCCUGAUUAAGUUGCUUUCUUACCUCGAGGGGCUUAAACUUCCGAGUGUAGUAGUUAGUUUCAAGAUUAUGGACUGGCUUUGAUUUCUAUCGGUAAACGAGCAUUCCUUAUGCACACACAUGUUUCAGUAAUUAUUUUUGUUUUUAUAACUUCUUGGUUUUUUUGUUGUGUGAUGGAUUAUUGUUACCUGACUUUAUAUUGAUCUGUGUAUUGAGGUUCUUAUAUCAAUUUCCUAGCAUAUCUCGCAAUUGUACAUGGUUUGACGUUUUCUAGGUUUUUUUUAAUCACUGUUUUUUCUUUGCUUGACAUGGUCUAGGGUUUAUUUUUUCCUUUGUACAAAGGAAUUGUUACAACAUAGUGGUUCCGGGAGCUCUAUUCAUGUAAGUGUUUAGCGGCGUGUCCUAAUUUGUGGUGUUGGCUCAAGACACAGCGAUGAGAGAGGGGUUUCCUCAGGUUAUGUGAGUGGGUGUAAUUGAGUUUUUGGAUUGAGCUCGGAAAUUACUCAAUGAUUGUGUUGUGUUGUUUUUAUCCCUAACAGUGAAGAAAUUUUUUCUCUAUGUACAGGCUGGCAGGAUUUUACCAAUUCAAUUAAAUCUUGUGCUCGCACUCAUAUUGCUGUCUUCAUUUUCUUCAUUUUUCUAUUAAUUCGGUUUGCUCAUUAACUUGUUUUGUGCGAUACUGAUUACUUUAACAAGUGGUGGUGGAGACAACCCUUUGGAUUGGAUGCAAUCGAAACUAGUGCUUGCUUGAUUUAGUUUGAGAUUCAAUACAUGGUUAAGAAAUUUAAUUGAAGAAAAUGAAGAUGACAGAAAACAAGUAGAAGAUGAGGGGAUUUGGCCCUUUCACUUCUUACUUUGAUUUGUGCUUUAUAUUUGACGAUUAAAGGAUAUGAUCACUCGAUAAGGUUUCUAAGCAUAGAAGGUUCAUACGUGAAACAAGUCUUUAAAUCCAUAAAAGAUGCCGGCACUUUGUUCAAGGUUGUUUGAUUAUGCUUGUGUUGCCAUACAAUCCUAGUGGAGGGGGAAAAGAGUUUUGUUGUCUGGUAUACCUAGAGGAGUGGAGGAGAAUAAAGCCUGUGCUAAUGGUUACUUAGAGUUUUUUAUGGUCGGAGACUGCCUGAGUAGAGUGACAUAUUCUCGAUGAGUUGACGGAAACUUCUGUCAAGAGAUGGUAAAUAGAGGUUAUGGUAUUGUUCAAGAAAUUUGUUUUCAAGAUAGGUUAUAAAUCGGAAAGCAGGUUACAAUCAUGUAGGUCAUGUUAUAUGUCAUCAUGCUUGCAUGUUAUGUUCUUAAAUCAAAAGAAAAUAGUCAUCAUCAAAUCUUGAAAUUCAAAUAAAUGGGCUUGUGUUUUGCAAGAUAAAAUUUAUAUGGUUCUAUUAACUGUUAGUAAAGAACCACUGUGGAUCAUGUUCAUUUACAUUGCAUGAAACUUGUUCCGGUCUUGCUACUAGCUUCCCUUUAUUGGUUUUGAAAUAACAAGAUAUGCUUUUAUUCAGGAGACGUGGAUUGAUUUUGGUACUUGUAACUACUUUCUGGCAGUAACACUACACAGUUCUCUGAAAAGUAUGGUAAGUAAAUUAAAUUAAAUUAAAUGUAAUAAAUCUUGCUCGUAUGUCUCUAAAACAAAGUAAUUCUUUAUAAAUUAAUUUGAGAAUACAUGGUUUGGUGACUCACUCAAUCCAUUAUGUAGUUUAACUGAUGGAACUAAGAACCUUUUUUGCCACUGGCAUUAUGACACGUCACUUCCUAAUCAGCCAGUCUCUAUAUUAUGGUAUUAGUUCUGGUAGGGGGCACAUUAACUGUUGCCUUUUGCUUACAUGGGUCUCGUGGUCCUGAUUUCAGAGAGCCAUCUUACUCAAGGGCCAUUGCUUAUGCAACGGUAAAGUUAUUGGCUUGGGUUGCAGAGAUGCUGUUUUGAAUUUUGUACAAAGUAACUUUAUGGAAAAUGUGUAUGGGUAAGGUUACCUCCAGAUUAAAACUAACUGAGCCCAUAAAAGGUUAGAUUUUGUUGCUGCUUGUUGACAUACUCAAGCUUAUGAAUCAAUGCCUAAAUUGAAGUUAAUUGAGGCCCAAAAUCACUUAGACCCAAGUUAACAAACUAAAAGAAGUUCGCCUCCAUCAUGUGUUGCCAAGUGCCUCACAUGAGGGAUCUCUAGGUAUUAAAAUUCUGUAGAAGUAAUUCCAUUUUUAUUUUUCAUGGUUGUGUUAUUAUGUCUGCGAAAGUAAGACCAAGUUAAAAUCAUAAAAUCUUUAACAGCAUGGAGGCUCAAAGAGAAAUUUUGGUCACACUCGCGCACACAUGAAUCUGAAAAAAAAUUAUCUUUUUAUUCUUUACAGCACAUCUUUUUAUUAUGAGUGGAGGUACAAAUAUAUUGAUUACUGCAAAGGCAACUCAGUGGAUGCUGGAAACACAGAUAAGUGGAUUUUUUUGUAUAAUUUUUUUAUUUUUAUGAAUGUCUUUAGUUUUAAUCUGAAAAUCGAUAUCAAAACAAUACAAGUUCCAUGAAAAUUGUCUCACUAUCCAUUCCCAUCUCCUUUAUUUAAUGUAGUGUAGACACAUGUGAGUGAAACAUAGGUUUGGUAAAGCAUGAAUAUUGGAAGAUGCAUCAGCAUGCACGCUUGCUGACAGUGGUUGUACUUGCCAGUCUUCUGAUUUUUCCACUAAUGAACAUCUAAAUGUCCUUUACAGUUGUGUUGCUCUGGUUUUAAUCACUUGCUUCUGUCACUAUCAAUUCCCAAUUGUUUGUUUUCUCAUGUUGUGAAGUUUGAUGGUAUACUUAAACAUUUGGAAUUUCACUUUUGAAAUGGAGAAUUUAUUGUUGGCUUCCCAUUAUAUAUUGAUGAGCCAUUUCAGAGAGGCAAUUUUUAGUCUGUGUUAGGAAUUACCUGAGACUUGGAAAUGGCAAGUUACACCGCUCAGAAGCUGCUAUACACGAAAAUUAUCCAUUUGUUAUUUUAGGAAAAAAGUUUAACUAAAACCCUAAAUGAAAAAAGAAAGCAGUUAAAACUAAUGUUGCUUUGGGUAACAGCACAACAAUGGCGCUGGAAAAUCUUUGAACAAGGCCAAAGGUAUUGGAUAUUAUCCACUGCUUUUACCGAGGAGUCCUGUCUGCUUAGAGCUCGUCAGCCGAGUUCUAUGCUAGACCUGGCAAAGGGAAAUGAGGAUUGGGAGUGCAUUCUACACCGACCGGGUGUAUAUAUUCUGUCAAGGUUCCUUUUUGGUGGUAAAAGAUUAAGUUUGGAGCUGAAGGGGAGCUCAAGGUUUUCUUGAUAGAUUAGAUUACCCUGUAAUGAAGCCAAUGAAAGCCAGUGAACAUGAGAAUGUCUUCACAAUCAAUUCGGGAAUUAUUGAAGUCAAUAGUCUUGGAAAACCUUUCGGUUCAGAUUCUGUAGAUCCUUGGCGCUCAAACCAGACAGUUCUUCUCCCAUUAAUUGCCUGCAAUUUCAGAGAUGCAAGUAUUAGGCGUGGUGCCGGAGUCUUAUACUUGUCCAUGAAUAUAGUCCUGAAAAAAAAAAAAAACUGUCCACAAAUACUUAAAAAGUCUGGUAGCUUCUCCUUUCUGGCGGAUGUGGCUGCAAAUGUAAUCAAUGAUAUGAAACAUUUAGAGAUAUUUUUGCCAGUAAGGUCACACGGCAGUAAAUUUUUUGAUCAGACAAACCUACACAUCAUCAUUUCAAUUCCAGGGGUGACGUGUUGUUGAGAUCAUCUAUUGAGAAUUUUGGGUGAUUAUUAACUUUA